CUUGGAGCCAGCCAACUAUGAACUGAAUCCUCUACAAACUGAGGACCUGGGAUCCCCGAUGAAGUCAGAACCCCCUUCCUCCCUGGGCAUCUGGUUCACCCACAGAAGAGAGGCACAGGAGGCGUGUACAGGUGCCAGUGCAGAGCACCUGUAACUUCUCAGGCAGGUGAUAACACCAGAUCUCCUGGAACUGGGUCAGCUGGAGUUCUCCUGACCUGGAGCAGGCUCAACUGAUUUUUCUUGGCUCAGUCAUGCAUCUGGUAUCAGCUAUUGGGACCCAUCUGGGGCUGAUGAGUCUAACAUGGCAUCUCUCCUGUGUCUGGCAGGUUGCAGACCACUGGCUAUCACAAUGGAAAUAAAAGGGCCAUGUGUCUGUCUGCAUCAGCCAACUAGUCUGGGCAUGUUCACAUGCAGCUACUGAGCUUCAAGAGUGAGAAUGGAAUGGUACAAGGGUGCUUGAGGCCAAGAUUUGGGAGAAAUAUAAUGUUGCUUCCAUCACAUUCUGUUGGCCUGGACAAGUCACAAGGCCAGCCCAGAGUCAAAAAGUGGAGAAAUAAACUCGACCUGAUGAUGACAGGAGUUGCAAGUCACACUGCAAAGAAGGCAAUGCAGUCACUUUUGUAAACAGCACAUCAUAGUAUCCUCAGAGCCUCAAUAAAUGGAGAACUCAAUAAACAGUGGACUCGAUAAAUAGAGAAUUUCUCAAAUGGAUGAAUUUGAACAUUUCAAUUUUAGUUGUUCUCAUUUUGUACUUAGUUUGUCUCUGUUACUGCUAAGCAAGCAUCUGAAGACAGAAAUCCUGUGUUCUUUAUGACCCCACAACACUGACACUACUUUGGACUCCACAAUGAUGAGUGGAGAUGGUGAAUAAAUGUAAUGUUGAGUCUUUCAAACCCUCUUUGCACAUCUCCACUUCUAGGCCUUCCUCAGUGUUUAAAGGCUCCUAUUGCAGAUUUGGAUAGGUUUUGUAACCUAGUGGACCAGGGCUUCGAUUCUGAACCUGCCAUUAACUAACUAUGGGACCUUUGACAAGUUUCUUCAUCUGCUGAGCCUCAAUUUCUUCUCCCACAAAUUUUGAGUGGCUACUCAGAACCGUUGCAGGGCUGAAGUGCAGUUGCAUGUGUGAAGUGCUGAACAUAGUGACAGGCACUAAAUGCAUGCCAUCCCUUUCCCUUUACCCUCAUCCCCUGAAUCAUCUUGACCUUGAUCUAGCCCCAUCCCUGGCUCAGUCAGCCUGCCCCAGGAAAGCCACAUCUAUUCCACACCUCUCUUGGUCCUUUGAAUGCAAUUGUUGGCAUACACAUAGGACACCUGAACUCCAACUAGUAUACAACUCCUGUGGCCACAGAUGGGCAGGAAAACUGUGGAACACAGUGAUUUCUGCCCUGCCUGGCACUGCUUCUCUAAUUCUAAGGCCAGAGGAGCUCCUUGUACACCUCAGGUGUUUGGAGAUCUGGCUGCCUUCCAGCACUCUGUCCUGACUUCUUGGCCUCCAGCCAUUAUCAAGGUAGUCACUGCUCAGGUCCAUUUUUAAACCCUGUGCACAUUUCCCUUUUUUCAGAUCAGCUGUCUUAUAUCUAGGUUCUCCCUUUUCCUUUUUUUCACAUCUCCUCCUUCUCUUCCCCACCUUACUACUUUUGGCUUUUCUCCAUAUGCCAGGCAGCCUGCUAAGCACUUUAUUCUAAUUGUCUGAUUAAUUCUUACAUCAACCCUAUGGCACAGGCACUGUUAUUACCAACACUUCCCUGAUAAAAAGAUCGAGGCUCAGAGUUCACACAACCCACUCAAGUCUGUACCCUCAAUGGGUGGUAGAAUCAGAAUUAAACUCUGAUUUGUCCCUUUCCCCCUAUUUCCUCCUGUUGUCCACUUGGGCAUCAUCCUGUGGCAAUUUUCUGAUAGAACAAUCCUUCUCGUCAUAUGGUUGGUCUAGAUGUUAUCAGCAUUUUUUUUCAAAAACUGCCAUAUUCCUCCUCAACUCUUGCUUUCCUUUUUCUCUGGGGCAGUGGAGUUCAGUAGAACUUUCUGGAAAGAUAGAAAUGUUCUCUGUGAUCUCCUCAUGGUUGCCACUAGACACAUGUGGCUUUUGAGUAUUUGAUAGGUGACUAGAAUGGCUGAGCAACUGCAUAUUAAUUUUAUUGAAAAGAUUUAAGAUGUGUCACAUACAUGCAUCAAAUAACCACAAUGAAUGUGAACAUUAUAUGUUGUGAACAUUAACUAUAAAUCAUAACAUUAACAGUAAUAAUGAAAAUGGGAAAAGGGGAUCUAG
This is a non-coding RNA of Heterocephalus glaber (naked mole-rat), 2266 nucleotides long. NCBI's taxonomy places the organism in Eukaryota, Metazoa, Chordata, Mammalia, Rodentia, Bathyergidae. The record is from RefSeq and is a predicted model, not a curated record.